UACAGAGGUCUCAAGCGUUGUUCGGAUUCAUUGGGCGUAAAGGGCGCGUAGGCUGCGGGGCAAGUCGGGUGUGAAAUCUCAGAGCUCAACUCUGAAACUGCACUCGAUACUGCUUUGCUCGAGGACUGGAGAGGAGAUUGGAAUUCACGGUGUAGCAGUGAAAUGCGUAGAUAUCGUGAGGAAGACCAGUGACGAAGGCGGAUCUCUGGACAGUUCCUGACGCUGAGGCGCGAAGGCCAGGGGAGCAAACGGG
RNAcentral lists this ribosomal RNA (253 nucleotides) under uncultured bacterium. Its description in RNAcentral is "partial 16S ribosomal RNA". It matches the Rfam family "Bacterial small subunit ribosomal RNA", at positions 524 to 776 of the family's 1533-position model. The record is from RNAcentral.